Molecule: transfer RNA, 78 nt
Filed under: Puniceicoccales bacterium
Lineage: Bacteria; Pseudomonadati; Verrucomicrobiota; Opitutia; Puniceicoccales
Description: tRNA-Glu
Rfam family: tRNA
About the family: Transfer RNA (tRNA) molecules are approximately 80 nucleotides in length. Their secondary structure includes four short double-helical elements and three loops (D, anti-codon, and T loops). Further hydrogen bonds mediate the characteristic L-shaped molecular structure. tRNAs have two regions of fundamental functional importance: the anti-codon, which is responsible for specific mRNA codon recognition, and the 3' end, to which the tRNAs corresponding amino acid is attached (by aminoacyl-tRNA synthetases). tRNAs cope with the degeneracy of the genetic code in two manners: having more than one tRNA (with a specific anti-codon) for a particular amino acid; and 'wobble' base-pairing, i.e. permitting non-standard base-pairing at the 3rd anti-codon position.
Source: RNAcentral
GUCCCGUUCGUCUAGUUCGGUCUAGGACACAGGAUUUUCAUUCCUGCAACAGGGGUUCGAAUCCCCUACGGGACGCCA